Molecule: transfer RNA, 71 nt
Filed under: Glossotermes oculatus
Lineage: Eukaryota; Metazoa; Arthropoda; Insecta; Blattodea; Rhinotermitidae
Description: tRNA-Ile
Source: RNAcentral
AAUGAAGAGCCUGAACUAAAGGAAUAUCGUGAUAGGAUAAAAUAUGCAGGUUCACAGCCCUGCCCUCAUUA